RNAcentral lists this unclassified non-coding RNA (4197 nucleotides) under Hevea brasiliensis (rubber tree). The record is from RNAcentral. Lineage: Eukaryota; Viridiplantae; Streptophyta; Magnoliopsida; Malpighiales; Euphorbiaceae.
CCCGAAUUAGAGUUUCUCUGUUUUGCCAAAAAAACUCAGAAUUACAAACCCUAAUCUCACUCCAGCUCAGAAAGAGUGUUGGUGUGUAGGCCCUGCUGAAGAGUUUGAGCUUGGGGAAGCUGGAGAGACAGAGGGAGGAGAGAUGGACGCGAUGAGGAAACAGCUGGAUGUGCUCAUGGGAGCCAAUCGGAACGGCGACGUUACGGAGGUGAAUCGCAAGUACUACGAUCGUGAUGUGUGUCGCAUGUACUUGGUUGGCCUUUGCCCCCAUGAACUCUUCCAAUUAACGAAAAUGGAUAUGGGGCCAUGUCCUAAGGUCCAUUCACUGCAGCUGAGGAAAGAAUAUGAAGAGGCAAGGGCAAAGGGUAUUGAUAACUAUGACAGAGAGUUGGAGGAUGUUAUAGAUCGCCUCAUUGUUGAGUGUGAUAAAAAAAUCAGCAGAGCUCUUAAGCGUCUUGAGGCUGAGGAUGCAAAGGCUGCUAUUGCAAUAUCGGUCUCUGAGGUCACACAGUCACCAGAGAUAAUUGAGUUAUCAAAGCAGAUCAAGGAGAAGUUGAAAGAAGCUGAUAAAUAUGAUCUUGAAGGCAAGACAGAUUUUAAGAUUCAAGCUCUGGAAGAGGUGGAAAAACUUAGAAGUGAAAGAGCAGAGAAGCAGUCUGCACUACUUUUGGAAGCCUUCAACAAAGAUAGGGCGUCUUUGCCUCAACCCUUGCCAAACCCACCUCCAUUGGCACCCUUGCCUGUACCCACUCCUGAUCCUCGUACCCAGGAAAUGAUUAAUGAGAAGCUGAAGAAGGCAGAGGAUCUUGGUGAGCAAGGAAUGGUAGAUGAGGCUCAAAAGGCUUUGGAAGAGGCCGAGGCACUUAAGAAGCUUCCUGCCAGGCAAGAGCCUACGUUGGAUUCCUCCAAGUAUACUGCUGCUGAUGUCCGCAUUACUGAUCAGAAGUUGCGUGUUUGUGACAUUUGUGGAGCCUUUUUGAGCGUAUAUGACAGGUAUAAUUUAAUCUUAUCUCUCCAAAUAUGUAUAGUUUUUUUAUUUUUCCUGAGGGAAACAAAAGAAUUUGUAUUUGGGGUUUCAAGUGGUUCAGCUUUUGAUCCAACUAUUAUACCUCCUUGUUACCAGCAGGCUUUUGGGCCCAGUUUUACGAGGAUAACUUUUGCAGCUAAAGAAUGUGCGUCUUUUUCUGUUUUAUAUGCUGGCAGAUCAUGAUAUAGUUAGAAAAUUAUGGGGCAACUUACUAUACAUGUACUUAUCUUUCGCCUUUUUUGGAGCCCAAAGCAUUUUGAUCUUUGUUUCUGCUUUCAGCGAUCGACGUUUAGCAGACCAUUUUGGAGGGAAGCUUCAUCUAGGCUAUAUGCAAAUCCGUGAGAAACUCACUGAGCUUCAGGUAUGGAAAUACAAGUAGUUGCUUUAUCAUAUACUUUUAGCUGAUUCAUUUUCUUACUUAGGUUGUUGUCUUUGUAGAAAAUGGUUAAGCAGGGAUUGCAGAAAAGGAAUGUAGUGAAAAUACUGAAAAUUCAUCAUAUCCUUAGUUGAUUUCUCAUUUUCCAUCAGUUAAUAUAUGAUUAUAAUUUUUUCCCAUUUGAAGGAAAUGGCUCAAACUGAUGGAUUGUGUUAAGUGGGAUAAAUCUAUUGUUUGACCUAUCCUGUCUUUUGGAAGUCCUUAAGUUGGUCUUGUGGUUAUGUUGGUUCUGGUGCUUGUAUAAUGUUUCACAUUAUCCUAUAUAGAUUCCCUGUUAGUAUGCAUCUGUGUGUUUUUCUUACCCGGAGAAGAAUAAUUUCUUAAUUUCCCCCUUUUUAGAUUUGACAGAUGUUGGACUUUAAGACAGAAAUAACUAUGUAAAAAAAAAUUGUCUUAUUCAUAUUGGUGGUGACACUAACCAUGCAUCAUAUCCAGUCUGAUAACUGUCAAUGCAUGUCAUGCAAUACUAGAAAGUGCUUCCUCUUCUAAUUUUGCCAGGGUGGGCAAAGGAUCAUCUGUUAUGUGCAGCCUGAUUGUGUGGGUUAGAACUAAUUAAGGGUCCCAAUCAUACUGUUUAAAUACAAGCUGGCUUCCUUGAAGGUUGUGCUGUAUUCAAAAGAUUGUCAUGAAUACAUUUUGUUGAAUUCAUUCUAGAACUUGGUUGGCAAUGUUGAUUUGUUAUCGGCAUUAGAAAUUUCUUUGAGAUGUCUGAUUCUGAAAGUCUUGUGCAAUUUAGCAUCUAAGGUGGAAUAAUAGGAAAUCGAGAGGGGAAAAUACUACAAAAAGACCUAGUAACUUAAAUCCUCUUGAUGUAUUUUAAGGCCAAUUGCUUUUGAAUUUGUGCAGAUUACUUUUUGUGUGCAUGCGUGUGUAUCAACAGUUGCAUGUAUGUGUUGUUGAGAAAGGAGAGUUUGUUUGGAUGCUGUGUAGAGGAAGAGAGAAACAAGCUCCUCAAAGGUGAUCGGUGUGAUGAUCGAAGAUCAAAAGAGCGAAGUAGAGACCGUGAAAGAGAAUCAAACAAGGAAAGAGAUCGGGGAGAUAGCCGUGACCGGGAGAGGGACCAUGAUCGUAGGAGCAGAGAUCGUGACAGGCAUUAUGAUCGAGAUCGUGGAUAUGAUCGGGACCGUGAUAGAGAUUCUGAUCGUUCCCGUUGCCGUAGUUAUGAUUCAAGAAGUCGCCACAGGUCGCGCUCUCGGUCUAGAGAACGUUCUAGGGACUAUGAUCGUCACAGGUAUUCUUUCACCCUAGUGCUUGCUGAUCAUUAGAGCUUCCACAUAUUUUGAGCAGUUUGCACUGGCCUUAUACCUUUAUCCUAAUUUUUAUCUUUUUUUCAGAAUACUCCCAAGUAUGUUCGUGUUUUACAUGUGAGAAUGAUGACAUUGGAGUUUUAGCCAAUUGUGAUGCAUUUGUGUUGUGACAUUAGGAAAUAACAUUGAAUUAUUUUUAAUUGAAAAUAUUAAAUAAUUAUGCUUUUUGCCUUUUUUCAAUGUGCGAGGAGAAAGAUUCUUGUCACCAUUAAAAUAGAAGUGGCUUUUAAUCAAGUGAAACUCAAGUCUGUUCUUAAAGUCCUUUAUUUCCCUGCAUCUCAGAAACGAGAACCCUUCUUCUGCUGCUGCUUCAAUUAAAUUUGUUAGCAUGUUUUAAAUCAGGAUAGUAAUUAAUAUAACAUUAUAUGCUACAAAUGAACACUUCUUAAUCAUUGAAUUAAAAAUGGUAGCAUGUGGUAACAACAUCAUUGAUAUAAUCUAUUCCUAGGUCUUUGGUGCUUAGUUUUAGUAGGCAGUUUUGAGGAUUGUUCAUUUUUCUAAUUCGUUAUUAAUCACUUUAUUAUUCAACUCAUCAGCAGGCGCCAUGAUCGGUACUAGGACGGUUGCUGUGGAGUGUUUUGGUAUGGAAGUAUGCACUUUUUUUUUUUUUUAAUUUAAUUACCUAGGUCAAUGAAGUUGUGGAGAAAAGAAUGAUUUUAUGUACUUGUUCUGAUAAUUUUAGUGGAGUUUGAUAGUAUGUGGAAUUUGGGUGCAUAGAUUUUCUUGACAUGUGUGUAUGUUUAAGAGGUAAGCUUUUACAAUGUUUUAUCUAAUUUUCAUGUUCAGUUAACCCUCAAAACUCUGCUCAAGUUUAUCUUACCUGAACUGAUAUCCUUGUUCAGAAUGGUUAUCCUUGUGGACUGCUACUUUUUGUUUAAAAAAUUAUUUUUUUAAUCGGGCUGGUUCCUAUUUGGAACCACCAGUUUUGAGCUAGUGUUGGUUCAGGUUUAAGGAGAAGUGACGGAACCGGCCUUUUAUACCCCAAUUUUUGGUUGGUUCAUGAAUCGGAACCAUUGUUCCUAUCUAAUUGAUAGUUUGAACCGGCCUGUAACCGGUCUAAGUGUAAGUACUGGGGAUUUGUAUGUUAAAUAGAGCAAAUGAAGUGAAAAUAGUACGGUUUUCUGGUUGAAAACGAUGCCAUUGAAAUUGUUCAGUAAAAAUAGUAGAUUAUUAGGAGGUUGAUUCAGGGGAAUCUCGUUAAAAUAAGCCUUCACAUGUGGGCUUAUUGCUUCUCCAACCUUUAUCCAAAACCUAAUCAUUAGCUAAACAACUCUUUUUAUCUAUAAAGUACUUCUCAGUUUUAGUUAACAUAAUAUAUGUAUAAAUGAUAAUUUGUUUAAUGGUGAAAGGGAAGGUAUCGACUGCAGUCAUUCUUUUUGUUGUUAACAAAAUUGACUAAUUGCAGAGAUAAAUCCUAUGGGGCAAGU